UGGGCGUCGAGCGGCGGACGGGUGAGUAAUGCCUAGGAAAUUGCCUUGAUGUGGGGGAUAACCAUUGGAAACGAUGGCUAAUACCGCAUGAUGCCUACGGGCCAAAGAGGGGGACCUUCGGGCCUCUCGCGUCAAGAUAUGCCUAGGUGGGAUUAGCUAGUUGGUGAGGUAAUGGCUCACCAAGGCGACGAUCCCUAGCUGGUCUGAGAGGAUGAUCAGCCACACUGGAACUGAGACACGGUCCAGACUCCUACGGGAGGCAGCAGUGGGGAAUAUUGCACAAUGGGCGAAAGCCUGAUGCAGCCAUGCCGCGUGUAUGAAGAAGGCCUUCGGGUUGUAAAGUACUUUCAGUUGUGAGGAAGGGUGUGUAGUUAAUAACUGCGCAUCUUGACGUUAGCAACAGAAGAA
This 408-nucleotide ribosomal RNA is filed under the name Vibrio cyclitrophicus FF75. Its description in RNAcentral is "bacterial SSU rRNA". It matches the Rfam family "Bacterial small subunit ribosomal RNA", at positions 85 to 489 of the family's 1533-position model. The record is from RNAcentral. Lineage: Bacteria; Pseudomonadati; Pseudomonadota; Gammaproteobacteria; Vibrionales; Vibrionaceae.